RNAcentral lists this ribosomal RNA (421 nucleotides) under uncultured bacterium. RNAcentral's name for it is "bacterial SSU rRNA". It matches the Rfam family "Bacterial small subunit ribosomal RNA", at positions 355 to 774 of the family's 1533-position model. The record is from RNAcentral.
UGAGGAAUAUUGGGCAAUGCCCGCAAGGGUGACCCAGCAACGCCGCGUGGAGGAUGAAUGUCGUAAGAUUGUAAACUCCUGUUAGAGGGGAAGAAUAGUACCGGUUGGACCGGUAUAUGACUGUACCCUCAGAGAAAGCCCCGGCUAACUACGUGCCAGCAGCCGCGGUAAUACGUAGGGGGCAAGCGUUGUCCGGAAUUAUUGGGCGUAAAGCGCGCGCAGGCGGUUCUUUAAGUCUGGUGUCUAAGUGCGGGGCUCAACCCCGUGACGCACUGGAAACUGGGGGACUUGAGUGCAGAAGAGGAGAGCGGAAUUCCACGUGUAGCGGUGAAAUGCGUAGAGAUGUGGAGGAACACCAGUGCCGAAGGCGGCUCUCUGGCCUGUAACUGACGCUGAGGCGCGAAAGCGUGGGGAGCAAACA